AGUGAACGCUGGCGGUAGGCCUAACACAUGCAAGUCGAACGGCAGCACAGUAAGAGCUUGCUCUUACGGGUGGCGAGUGGCGGACGGGUGAGGAAUACAUCGGAAUCUACUUUUUCGUGGGGGAUAACGUAGGGAAACUUACGCUAAUACCGCAUACGACCUACGGGUGAAAGCAGGGGAUCUUCGGACCUUGCGCGAUUGAAUGAGCCGAUGUCGGAUUAGCUAGUUGGCGGGGUAAAGGCCCACCAAGGCGACGAUCCGUAGCUGGUCUGAGAGGAUGAUCAGCCACACUGGAACUGAGACACGGUCCAGACUCCUACGGGAGGCAGCAGUGAGGAAUAUUGGACAAUGGGCGCAAGCCUGAUCCAGCCAUACCGCGUGGGUGAAGAAGGCCUUCGGGUUGUAAAGCCCUUUUGUUGGGAAAGAAAAGCAGCAGGUUAAUACCCCGCUGUUCUGACGGUACCCAAAGAAUAAGCACCGGCUAACUUCGU
This 491-nucleotide ribosomal RNA is filed under the name uncultured bacterium. Its description in RNAcentral is "partial 16S ribosomal RNA". It matches the Rfam family "Bacterial small subunit ribosomal RNA", at positions 29 to 506 of the family's 1533-position model. The record is from RNAcentral.